AACGAACGCUGGCGGCAUGCCUAACACAUGCAAGUCGAACGAGACCUUCGGGUCUAGUGGCGCACGGGUGCGUAACGCGUGGGAACCUGCCCUUAGGUUCGGAAUAACUCCCCGAAAGGGGUGCUAAUACCGGAUAAUGUCUUCGGACCAAAGAUUUAUCGCCUUUGGAUGGGCCCGCGUUGGAUUAGCUAGUUGGUAGGGUAAAAGCCUACCAAGGCGACGAUCCAUAGCUGGUCUGAGAGGAUGAUCAGCCACACUGGGACUGAGACACGGCCCAGACUCCUACGGGAGGAAGCAGUGGGGAAUAUUGGACAAUGGGGGAAAGCCUGAUCCAGCAAUGCCGCGUGAGUGAUGAAGGCCUUAGGGUUGUAAAGCUCGUUUACCCGGGAUGAUAAUGACAGUACCGGGAGAAUAAGCUCCGGCUAACUCCGUG
RNAcentral lists this ribosomal RNA (433 nucleotides) under uncultured bacterium. RNAcentral describes it as "partial 16S ribosomal RNA". It matches the Rfam family "Bacterial small subunit ribosomal RNA", at positions 29 to 507 of the family's 1533-position model. The record is from RNAcentral.